RNAcentral lists this ribosomal RNA (465 nucleotides) under Vreelandella stevensii. RNAcentral describes it as "partial 16S ribosomal RNA". It matches the Rfam family "Bacterial small subunit ribosomal RNA", at positions 338 to 795 of the family's 1533-position model. The record is from RNAcentral. Lineage: Bacteria; Pseudomonadati; Pseudomonadota; Gammaproteobacteria; Oceanospirillales; Halomonadaceae.
CCUACGGGGGGCUGCAGUGGGGAAUAUUGGACAAUGGGGGCAACCCUGAUCCAGCCAUGCCGCGUGUGUGAAGAAGGCCCUCGGGUUGUAAAGCACUUUCAGUGAGGAAGAACGCCUGGUGGUUAAUACCCAUCAGGAAAGACAUCACUCACAGAAGAAGCACCGGCUAACUCCGUGCCAGCAGCCGCGGUAAUACGGAGGGUGCGAGCGUUAAUCGGAAUUACUGGGCGUAAAGCGCGCGUAGGUGGCUUGAUAAGCCGGUUGUGAAAGCCCCGGGCUCAACCUGGGAACGGCAUCCGAAACUGUCAAGCUAGAGUGCAGGAGAGGAAGGUAGAAUUCCCGGUGUAGCGGUGAAAUGCGUAGAGAUCGGGAGGAAUACCAGUGGCGAAGGCGGCCUUCUGGACUGACACUGACACUGAGGUGCGAAAGCGUGGGUAGCAAACAGGAUUAGAUACCCCGGUAGUC